UCUGGGAACUGCAAUGAUUUGUUACUAGUGCUUGAAUGCUUUGUAAAUCCAGUCUCUGCUUUUUGUAGGUAUGCCCUAGAGGUCAAAGAACCGAUGACAAUAAAAUCUGCCGGGAAUGCGUGGGAUCUCCGGACCGCUAUGACUGGCUGUACCUUGGCUUCAUGGCCAUGCUUCCCCUGGUUUUACACUGGUUCUUUAUUGAAUGGUAUUCAGGAAAAAAGAGUUCCAGCGCGUUGUUGCAGCAUGUCACUGCCUUGUUCGAGUGCAGUGUGGCAGCGAUUGUUACGCUGCUGGUCAGCGACCCCGUCGGCUCCCUGCAUAUCCGCUCCUGCAAGGUGAAGAAGCUUUCGGACUGGUACACGAUGCUUUACAAUCCAAGUCCUGACUACAUCACCACAGUGCACUGCACUCACGAAGCCGUCUACCCCCUGUACACCAUCGUGUUUAUAUAUUACGCCUUCUGUCUUGUGUUAAUGAUGCUACUUCGGCCUCUUCUGGUUAAGAAAAUUGCCUGUGGUUUAGGAAAGUCUGAUCGAUUUAAAAGCAUUUAUGCAGCACUGUACUUCUUCCCUAUCCUCACCGUGCUUCAGGCCGUUGGCGGAGGCCUGCUCUAUUAUGCCUUCCCUUACAUCAUACUGGUGUUGUCUUUGGUUACGCUGGCUGUGUACAUGUCUGCUUCUGAAGUGGAGUCUUUCAAGGACCUUCUUGUCAGGAAGAAAAGGCUCGUUGUCCUCUUCAGCCACUGGUUACUUCAUGCCUAUGGAAUCAUCUCCAUUUCCAAACUGGAUAAGCUUGAGCAGGACCUCCCGCUGCUUGCCUUGGUACCUGCGCCUGCCCUCUUCUACUUGCUGACAGCGAAGUACACCGAGCCGUCACGCAUACUCUCCGAAGGUGGAAAUGGACAUUAAAAGGAGCCCAUGCCAACAAUGCUGAUCUAAUGAUCUGGAUUAAGCAGUUUUAGUGCUUGUUACGCUUUGGAAACUUCUGUUUUGAAAGAAGUUAUUGAUGUGCAAGCCUUCUCAGUGAAACACCCCUGAGUGAGACCGUGUGCUAUUAAAAAGCUGCACUUUGCAUUCUUUCUGUCAGCAAGCCCCUUGCUGGGGGGGAGCCUGGGAAGCAUCUGUUGACCACGCAUGGGUGUAGCCACCUCUGCACUUUUCAGCACAGCCCCUGUAGCUUCCUCCUGUGAGAGUGCUUGUGCCCGUUGCCUCCGCCUGUCAGCGGUGCCAACAGCUCGCAUCUCUUGCUGCGUGGCCGCAGCUGUACCUGUACUACAGCAACAGGCGUGGAGUUUGGCGGCUGGGAAAGGAACAGCUCUUUAUGCGGUAUCAGCACUGCGAUGAUAGGAACUGCUGGAAUGACUGAAGAACAAAACCAGCACAGGUAUAAUAAAAAGACCUGGAGAUGAUGCCUUAUCUUCUUCAAGAGAUGAUGCCAUUAUCUCUGCUCUACCGUCAUCAAAGUCUUUCUUUAUGUGAACACCUCAGUAAGAAUUGCUAAAACAUCCGAGGUUGUUCAGAAGUGAGGUUGUGGCCUUGCUGAAGCCAACUAUCCACUGCCAGACUCUAGUCCUCUCGCUGUGCUGUACAGGAAGAUACCCAAAGUGUGCAUCCUGCACGUUCCUCAUCAGCGACGCAGUGCUACAGAGGGUCUAGAAGAUGCAGAGCAGUGCUAAAGGUCUAAACACAGAAGGAAGAGUAACAGGAAGAUCUUCGCAAAUUAAACUCUUCCUACUGUAUGGAUCAUUGGCUGUAGCAGUGCAAAUAGCAGUGUGUAUUGCUAUGUUUAACCAUGACAGUAAUGCCUUUUUUAUUCUAUCAAUCACCUAUCAACACUGCUAAGGACAGAGCCUGCCAACAGCUCAGACUUGGAGCCAGGCUGCCUUGAGGCAGCACUCUCCUCUUUCUCCAUAAAAGGUUGGAUUUCUUUAUACCUGAAUCACCUUUCCAACAGCUUUUUUCUGUGAAAUGCCAAGUGACAGGUUCACUGCUUUUAAAAACAGUGUGCAAACAAACUAGGUUUUGCAUGCAGAAGAAUUUAUUUAGAGAUUAAGGAAGUAAUUGAUCUCCUUAGGGAAACCAAAUAAAUUCUGUCUGCUGCUACAUACAAACUAAUUUACAGACACAUGAAUUCAGAUGACAGUUCUACAAGUAUGGUUUUAAAACUCGUGUUAAAAAAAGUUACAGGUGUAUUUUUCUUUAAAAUGUCCUAAACACAGUUUUGUGUCUACAUUUGCACAGCGGUCACAUCAGUACCUGUGCAGCAGGCACGCGAGCAGCCAGGGCCACACCGUGCAGGAAAAGCUGUUUGCAAAGGAGCGGUACUGAGGACUGCGCGCUUUUAUGUGCGUUCCGUGUACGGACUCUGUGUAUUGGGUUUAAAUGUUGUCCUGUAUCUUGUUUUUAAAGAGAAAAGUAACAACAACUCCCAGCUGUAGCAAAGAGCACAUCUUUUGAUAGGUUUAGAGAAUCAUGUUGCAGAGCUGGCAGGAAGGCAGCGCACCCCAUAGACCAUGCUGGCACAACCAAACACUGACCCUCCUGCUGGGCUCCGGUGCUUCAGCCUUCAGCAAAGCCUGGAAUGUAAAAUACAAAUUAAUAAACUCUUUUUUAAUCACCUCCUCUCAGUAGCAUAACACCAUGUAAUGGCAAGCAAAGGGUUAGGUAGACGCAGCUAAAUAAAUGCACGCAGUUUUGAAUGACUGAGCAAUGUUUAUGCGCAGGCUCCUUGUGAAGAAACCUGCCCUGCACAACUGACACAGAAAAUAGUGCUGGCCUUCAGGUGAAGCAGGAUUCUCUUCUGCUCUACGUUCACCAUCCUUCCCCUCUCUGCCUAACUAACUUCCUUCCAGGGACAUUGCCUUCCUCUAAAAAUUCAUCAUUCCUCUCCCUGGUUUCCCGUCACGUUACCCAGACCCAAUGAUUUCAAAGCAGCCUGUAUGCCACAGCCUUUCAGCUUCAAUAUGUUUAAAACCCCACAUUCUGUAAGAAGGCAAUGGUCAUACAGUGACCAAACCCGUGACUCAUCACAAAUGAGACCUCUGUGAACCAGCAAGUAAAGAAGAUAUCUACAGGUUUGGGUUAAAUGGAGGCCCUGAAGCAAGUAAUCCGCAUGCACCUAGGGCCCCUGUGCAAUAUGAGCCCUCCCCAAAACAAGAGUAUAGAAUA
This is an RNA transcript of Egretta garzetta (little egret), 3167 nucleotides long. It is a transcript of the gene named JNK1/MAPK8 associated membrane protein, with no coding region annotated. The record is from RefSeq and is a predicted model, not a curated record. NCBI's taxonomy places the organism in Eukaryota, Metazoa, Chordata, Aves, Pelecaniformes, Ardeidae. The transcript has 6 exons.